ACCCAUAUCCAAGCUGGAUGUGUGGUUGCUCCCAGGUGCAAAGAACCAAUUUCUCAGUAAUAACUGGUCUGUUCUAAUCAGGAUCAAGUGCACAAUCUUAUUCACCGAUAUUUUCUAAGCUAGGCAAUGUAAGCCAGAGCGUGCAUAUUAAUGCUAGGCAAACAAGUCUACACAUCACAUAACAAGCAAGGAAACAAGCAAUACAAUUUAAAAGAAUUUAUAACUACGUGUACACAUGAGCAUCAACUGGCAGUAUAGGCGGCUAUCGGGCCAGGCUUUUUAGAAAAGCCCGGUAGCCCGGCGGGCUUGGCCUGUUCGUGCCCGGCCUGGCACAUAUUUAAUCAGGCCGGGCCGGCCCGAGGCCCUGUCCGUCCCGUGCUUGGGCUUCCGCCUCAGGCCCUUGGGUCGGCCCGGCACAUGCCCGUUUAUAUUUUAUUUUUAUUAUUUUAGGAUUACAUAUUUGUCCCAUUAACUUUCUCAAUUCCGACCUAACUCCUCAUAUUUAUUUUUAUUUUACCCCACCAAUUCUUCUUGUUUUGGCCCAACCACCUUGUUUAUUUUUCCAUUUUCCUUUAAUCUGGCCCAGCCCAAAAUUUUCCUUUUCUUUUUUCAGUAAUCUGGCCCAUGUGCCUAGGUAGGCACGUCGGGCCUUAACGGGCCCAGGACGGCCUGGCCGGGCUCAAUGCCGUUCCUGGACAUGGGGGUUGCGUUUUCGGGCAGGCCCGGCCCCUUUAUUGCCGAGUAUCACCGGGCCAUGCCCGGGCCAGACCCGUUUAUCCAGAGCCGGGCCGGCCGGCCCGAUAGCCACUUAUAACUGGCAACAACCAUGCAUCCAUCCGAACAGUACCAACGCUGCUACUCAAUCAGGAAGCCAGGAAGCUAUACGCAUGCAUCUGAUUACAGAGUAUAAAUCUAGACUACUUAGCAAAAUUUAAAAUUAACUAGGAGAGAUAAUGAGACAUACAUGCAUGCAUAGGAAACAUAUCGUCACGCUGCAGUUAAUUUCGCAAGCUUAACAUGCAACCUGUCUACGUCAGCAUCCCAUCUUCUAAUCCCUGCCACAUCAGCAUGGCCGCUGCUGAUUUCCCAACUCAGGCCGCUCAAUUUCCUUGAGCGACAUGGUCUCCUUGCGCGAUUUGCAAGCCGUCGUCGCCUCGCGUCAUGCCAAGCUCUGUUCCCGCCACCCACGGGCUCAGCCCCGGCGACUGGAUUUAGCAUGCAGAGCACAACCUUG
RNAcentral lists this long non-coding RNA (1234 nucleotides) under Brachypodium distachyon (stiff brome). Its description in RNAcentral is "long non-coding RNA (BDIS_LNC002968)". Lineage: Eukaryota; Viridiplantae; Streptophyta; Magnoliopsida; Poales; Poaceae. The record is from RNAcentral.